Molecule: non-coding RNA, 25 nt
Filed under: Mus musculus (house mouse)
Lineage: Eukaryota; Metazoa; Chordata; Mammalia; Rodentia; Muridae
Source: RNAcentral
UAACUUAAAAAGGGAAGACCUGGGA